CUGGAAUCCGGAUGCCUUGGCGGGCGGGGCCGCUGGCCCUGCUGGGAGGGGUUGAGGCCCAGCUUGUCCCCUGCCGGCCUCCCCUGCCCUCUGCUGCUCCUCGCACCACAGAGCCUGCCUUCUUCGCAACCUUAGGCUCCUAUCAGCUUUCUUUGGUGCCUGAUAAUUCUGGACUGAUGACAGCCUGGCCAGCGCAUGGGCCACAGCCCUGCUCCCCCCACUCGGGUCAGGUCCCCUUUCCUCCUGUCCCCCAGCAGCUUUCCCUGGGCCCAUUUUUUUUUUUUUUUUUUGUCCUGGCCUCUUCCCCAUUAAUUGCUUUUCUCUGCAGCCUUUGUUUUCUUUAUCAAAGUGCUUGCUCUGAAGGCUUACACUUCAGAUUCCUGCCCCUGGUGCCCUUGGCCUGUUGGUUAUUUAAUUUUUCUUUCAUUCCCUUGCCUGUCAGGCAACUUCUGCACGCUGAUUGUUUUCACUCUUGAAAGUCUCCAAACAAAGAUCGCAGCCUUGUAGGUAAGGUUGAAAAAAAUUAGAACACUCUUGGUGUGUGCAGGAGCGUGUAUGUGUGCACACAUGCACACACACACACACACACAAGUUAGAAAAAAGUGUAUUUGGACCCACCCACGUUCUUAGAAGCACAGAAUUUUACUGAUAAAAGGGCUUUCCACGCUUUCUGAUGACCCUCACAGCAACAUGUCCACUAAUGCCUGCACUCUUGCUUCAUAAAUUGCUGGACAGAAUUUCUUUUUGGUUUUGUUUUAGUCACUCAAAUAAAUAUAUGUAAAAGUUAACUUCGGCUGGCGGAUGGGGUUUUAGAGAUAUAGUCCGGUUGAAAGGAUUGUGUUUUCAUAGAAUGAGGCAGCACUAUAUGACAACGCCCAGCAUCUGUGCCUAGAUAGGUCCAGCCAUGUAGGGUGGGGCCAAAGCAGCCGUGGAACAGAACACGCUGGGUCUUUGGGGAUGAAUGGUAUUUGGAUUCAGGAGGCUUUUCUUUUCUUCUUCUUCUUCUUAUUUUUUUUUUAAACUGUACUGGGGGUUGAACCCCAGUCCUCAGGUAUCCUAAGUGAAAUCUCUAGCCGCCAGCCAAGUUCUUCUGAUCUCCCCUUCCUUUCCCUUCCCUUUCUCCUUCCUUCCUUU
Molecule: long non-coding RNA, 1134 nt
Filed under: Ictidomys tridecemlineatus (thirteen-lined ground squirrel)
Lineage: Eukaryota; Metazoa; Chordata; Mammalia; Rodentia; Sciuridae
Description: lncRNA (ENSSTOG00000032184.1)
Source: RNAcentral